Non-coding RNA from Spodoptera litura, 603 nucleotides. The record is from RefSeq and is a predicted model, not a curated record. Lineage: Eukaryota; Metazoa; Arthropoda; Insecta; Lepidoptera; Noctuidae.
GGUGUCUGAUGUCUGAAGGCGUCUAGUGCUGCAAGAUCUUAGCCCUGCGCUCUGGUUAUACAUACAGCAGCUGACAUGAAGAAGCGACGCGACCUGGCUGAGACAACCACUCAGCUCCGAGGGCCUGCAUCACAGCAGUUGCUACGUACUACCUCGUGACUUAUGACCCCGUGGGGUUCCCACGGGGUGUAAGUGGCUCCCAUCACGCCAAAGUCAACCUCACCUGCUCGCGGUACACCCUGCUCACCCACUAACGAGGCUCUGGCGCCCCUCCCCAUAUGGGGGCUUAUACCACAUUAUGGGGGGUUUAAAUCGGUAUAUAAUCGGUGUAUUAUACGAUUAUCGCCUAUUUUUAAGCAUUUGAUAAAAAAAAUCCUUUGCUUGAAAAAGCAUAAUUUCUCAACAAUAAAAUUGAUAAGCUGCAAAAGCUUAUUAAAUAAUUAUCUGUUAUUGUGUAACUUAAAUCAAAAUAUGCAACUUAAAUAACGAGGUAUGAUUAUGUGUUGUUUAUUAGAAUACAACGGGUGGCUAGGUCAGUGGUGGUGCGACUUGGUGGUGGUCAAAAGUGCCACAGAAGUGUGUUGGCUUCUUUUCUUUUUGGCA